Long non-coding RNA from Camelus dromedarius (Arabian camel), 491 nucleotides. RefSeq lists it as uncharacterized. The record is from RefSeq and is a predicted model, not a curated record. Lineage: Eukaryota; Metazoa; Chordata; Mammalia; Artiodactyla; Camelidae. The transcript is spliced from 3 exons.
GCAAGAUGCAUAUAAGGUGGUUUCCAACACAGUGAGAUUAUAAGGAAGCUGCCUGAAGCUCUCUCCCUGCUCAGGAUUGUGAAUCUCACAGAUCUGCCAGAGUGCCCACAAAUCCCACCAUUAGAGAUGCACUCCUUUGCAUCAAGGGCAGACAAGUGUUCCCUAGGACCACACAAUGCCAUGGCUCAACCUAGCAAGAGACAGCCAACAAGAAGCACCCACAGGCUCUAUCGCGGGGGAGUGGAUGCACUACUGUGGCAUGGAGCCUGGAAGCAAGAAUAGGAUGCGAGCUGGGACCACAGACAAAGUGGCACUGCCCGGGCGUCACUCAGAAGAUUACAAGAAGAAUGUUGGAGCUACGUGUCAAGAAAAGGUCCAUGGGAAAGAGGACUUGUUACUGAUGGGAAGUCAGGUGGAGAACGCUAACAUGUAGUGCCUUGAACGUAUUACCAUUGACUGAAUGACUAAACAAGCAGAGGUUAGAAGGGCCC